CACUCAAGGGCCAAAGAACUAGUAAAUCCUAAGAGAGAAUUAGGAUUAGCAAACUAGAAGAAC
Molecule: small RNA, 63 nt
Filed under: Homo sapiens (human)
Lineage: Eukaryota; Metazoa; Chordata; Mammalia; Primates; Hominidae
Description: nc052 non-coding RNA
Source: RNAcentral